GGCAGGAUGGCGUAGUGGUUAACGCAUCCGCCUAGUGAGCAGGAGACCUAGGUUCGAAUCCUGGUCUUGGUA
Schistocerca cancellata (South American locust) is the source of this 72-nucleotide non-coding RNA. The record is from the annotation of a RefSeq genome assembly. Lineage: Eukaryota; Metazoa; Arthropoda; Insecta; Orthoptera; Acrididae.